AGAGUUUGAUCCUGGCUCAGGACGAACGCUGGCGGCGUGCCUAACACAUGCAAGUCGAACGAGAAUCUUUGAACAGAUCUUUUCGGAGUGACGUUUAAAGAGGAAAGUGGCGGACGGGCGAGUAACGCGUGAGUAACCUGCCCAUAAGAGGGGGAUAAUCCAUGGAAACGUGGACUAAUACCGCAUAUUGUAGUCAAGUCGCAUGACUAGAUUAUGAAAGAUUUAUCGCUUAUGGAUGGACUCGCGUCAGAUUAGAUAGUUGGUGAGGUAACGGCUCACCAAGUCAACGAUCUGUAGCCGAACUGAGAGGUUGAUCGGCCGCAUUGGGACUGAGACACGGCCCAGACUCCUACGGGAGGCAGCAGUGGGGAAUAUUGCGCAAUGGGGGCAACCCUGACGCAGCAACGCCGCGUGCAGGAAGAAGGUCUUCGGAUUGUAAACUGUUGUCGCAAGGGAAGAAGACAGUGACGGUACCUUGUGAGAAAGUCACGGCUAACUACGUGCCAGCAGCCGCGGUAAUACGUAGGUGACAAGCGUUGUCCGGAUUUACUGGGUGUAAAGGGCGCGUAGGCGGACUGUCAAGUCAGUCGUGAAAUACCGGGGCUUAACCCCGGGGCUGCGAUUGAAACUGACAGCCUUGAGUAUCGGAGAGGAAAGCGGAAUUCCCGGUGUAGCGGUGGAAUGCGUAGAUAUCGGGAGGAACACCAGUGGCGAAGGCGGCCUACUGGGCACCAACUGACGCUGAGGCUCGAAAGUGUGGGUAGCAAACAGGAUUAGAUACCCUGGUAGUCCACACCGUAAACGAUGAUUACUAGGUGUUGGAGGAUUGACCCCUUCAGUGCCGCAGUUAACACAAUAAGUAAUCCACCUGGGGAGUACGACCGCAAGGUUGAAACUCAAAGGAAUUGACGGGGGCCCGCACAAGCAGUGGAGUAUGUGGUUUAAUUCGACGCAACGCGAAGAACCUUACCAAGUCUUGACAUCCUGCGACGAUGCUGGAAACAGUAUUUUCCUUCGGGACGCAGAGACAGGUGGUGCAUGGUUGUCGUCAGCUCGUGUCGUGAGAUGUUGGGUUAAGUCCCGCAACGAGCGCAACCCUUAUGGUCAGUUACUACGCAAGAGGACUCUGGCCAGACUGCCGUUGACAAAACGGAGGAAGGUGGGGAUGACGUCAAAUCAUCAUGCCCUUUAUGACUUGGGCUACACACGUACUGCAAUGGCGUUAAACAAAGAGAAGCAAGACCGCGAGGUGGAGCAAAACUCAGAAACAACGUCCCAGUUCGGACUGCAGGCUGCAACUCGCCUGCACGAAGUCGGAAUUGCUAGUAAUCGUGGAUCAGCAUGCCACGGUGAAUACGUUCCCGGGCCUUGUACACACCGCCCGUCACACCAUGAGAGCCGGGGGGACCCGAAGUCGGUAGUCUAACCGCAAGGAGGACGCCGCCGAAGGUAAAACUGGUGAUUGGGGUGAAGUCGUAACAAGGUA
This 1486-nucleotide ribosomal RNA is filed under the name metagenome. RNAcentral describes it as "bacterial SSU rRNA". It matches the Rfam family "Bacterial small subunit ribosomal RNA". The record is from RNAcentral.